This 874-nucleotide ribosomal RNA is filed under the name Ramularia hydrangeae-macrophyllae. Its description in RNAcentral is "eukaryotic LSU rRNA". It matches the Rfam family "Eukaryotic large subunit ribosomal RNA", at positions 33 to 936 of the family's 3401-position model. Lineage: Eukaryota; Fungi; Ascomycota; Dothideomycetes; Mycosphaerellales; Mycosphaerellaceae. The record is from RNAcentral.
CUUAAGCAUAUCAAUAAGCGGAGGAAAAGAAACCAACAGGGAUUGCCCUAGUAACGGCGAGUGAAGCGGCAACAGCUCAAAUUUGAAAUCUGGCGCAAGCCCGAGUUGUAAUUUGUAGAGGAUGCUUCUAGGUAGCGACCGGUCUAAGUUCCUUGGAACAGGACGUCAUAGAGGGUGAGAAUCCCGUAUGUGACCGGCCCGCACCUUCUACGUAGCUCCUUCGACGAGUCGAGUUGUUUGGGAAUGCAGCUCUAAAUGGGAGGUAAAUUUCUUCUAAAGCUAAAUACCGGCCAGAGACCGAUAGCGCACAAGUAGAGUGAUCGAAAGAUGAAAAGCACUUUGGAAAGAGAGUUAAAAAGCACGUGAAAUUGUUGAAAGGGAAGCGCUCACAACCAGACUUCUGGGCGGUGUUCCGCCGGUCUUCUGACCGGUCUACUCACCGUCCCGAGGCCAACAUCAUCUGGGACCGCUGGAUAAGACCUCAGGAAUGUAGCUCCCCCUCGGGGGAGUGUUAUAGCCUGUGGUGAUGCAGCGCGUCUCGGGUGAGGUCCGCGCUUCGGCAAGGAUGUUGGCGUAAUGGUUGUCAGCGGCCCGUCUUGAAACACGGACCAAGGAGUCUAACAUCUAUGCGAGUGUUCGGGUGUCAAACCCCUACGCGUAAUGAAAGUGAACGGAGGUGGGAAGCGUAAGCUGCACCAUCGACCGAUCCUGAUGUCCUCGGAUGGAUUUGAGUAAGAGCAUAGCUGUUGGGACCCGAAAGAUGGUGAACUAUGCCUGAAUAGGGUGAAGCCAGAGGAAACUCUGGUGGAGGCUCGCAGCGGUUCUGACGUGCAAAUCGAUCGUCAAAUUUGGGUAUAGGGGCGAAAGACUAAUC